CCGGAGGAAGCCAUGGGGUGUUUGGAGGUGAGAAUGAUGUGAGGUGUCACUGGGCAGGGGGAAGACACGUAAGAUGAGCGUGAAAAUGGCCUUCGUGUCAGGACUCUGGCUACAAGGAUCUGUGUGUGGAAAGAGAGGAGAGGAAAGGGGGCAGAGAGGAGAGGGAGAGAGGAGGAGCAAGAGGGAGAGAGGAGGAGAGAGAAGACAGGAGUUAGAAGAGAAAGAAAAUGUAGAGUGAGCCAGGGAGGUUCUGAAGGAGACCCCCAUCUGUGGGUCCCCUCAUCUCCACUCUGGCCCAGGAGGUCAGGGGAGUCCCAGGGCCCUGGCCUGGCCUGGCUCUUAUGAAAAGAAGGCAGGAGAAUGGGAACACAAGAGGAUGGAGGUCUGACUAGCUAAAUGAAUUCACCAGGAGGCAGGACUGACAGCCCCAGGAUGCCCUCAAGCAGAGAAGUCGUCAGAGAAGACAGAGAGCAGGUGAUAAUCGCCAGGCGGAUGAGAGUCGAAGGCACCCAGGCCAGGCUCUCCUUGGCUUCUCCAAACCCAGUCAGCUUCGGAGAAAACAGAAAGGUCUGAGUUUUCUGGUUGUUCACACUUAGAAACUAAAGCCAGAAAACUUGCAAACAUCUGGCUUGAGUAGCUCAGAACCCCCAGUGCUCAGCCCUGAUGAGAUUUAGUAAUGCUAUGGCUCCAUCUACAGCCCGAGAAGGAGCAUGUCACUAGGAUUCUCUGUGAGCAGCAGGGUCCAGGCUUGGAGCUAGCUGCACAAAGCUAACUACAAUUAAUGCUAAUUAAGCCUUUUCCUCUAUCUGCGCUGUUUAUUCAAUGCAGACUUGGAACUACCCUGGAAGUUAUUUAUUUCAGACUAUGUCUAAAACAGCAGCUGUUAGGAAUAUUCUAGAACGCUUUUAGCCAAAAUUGGUUUGGAAUCUCUAUUUUAAACCACUGUUUAUUAUGAAUUGAGUUAAGUGGGUC
RNAcentral lists this long non-coding RNA (972 nucleotides) under Marmota monax (woodchuck). Lineage: Eukaryota; Metazoa; Chordata; Mammalia; Rodentia; Sciuridae. The record is from RNAcentral.